This is a non-coding RNA of Peromyscus maniculatus bairdii (prairie deer mouse), 872 nucleotides long. Lineage: Eukaryota; Metazoa; Chordata; Mammalia; Rodentia; Cricetidae. The record is from RefSeq and is a predicted model, not a curated record.
GCUGCAGUGAGGGGUGGGGCCGCCCUCGCUCUUGUUAAGGCCUAACCACCCGUGAUGGCUGCUGAUCUCGGUUGUCACCUUGACCACAUCUGGAAUCAACAAAAACCCAAGCAGCUGGACACACCUGUGAGGGAUUUCCUUGAUCAGAUCAUUUGGUGUAGAAAGACCCACCCUAAACCUGGGCCAUACCUUCUGGUGGUAACCCACGUAAAAGGACCGGGAAGGUUUUGCUUUUCGCCUGCUGGCCCUCCCUCUCUGGCAAGUUCAUCCAUCCCGCUGCUGAGGUGUUCCUUUCCUUGUAGCAGCUCUUACUUCCUCAGGACUCCAUCACAGACCGAAGACCAGCAGCUCGCUAGGAUCCGGCACACCAGUGGGACCACUGAGACAUCCAGUCUCAUGGACUGAGUAACUACAGUGUUCUUGGCCAUUCUGCAAGAGACAGUCAUUGUUGGACUACCCGGACACAGCCUGUCUGCACAUGUGAUUGCUGGUGCCAGAGAGCCUCUAAGAUCCCCCGGAGCUGGAGUUUGUGAGCCUCCUGACCUGGGUGCUGAGAACAGAACGCGGGUCCUCUGCAAGAGCAGAAUGCGCUCUGAGCCCUCCCGCCAGCCCCAGCUGGUGACAUUCCUAUUCGUUAGAAUUUGGGUGUGUUCUUACCUUUCGGCCAUGGGACGAGACAUCCCAACGAGUGGAGAUGUCUUCUAGACGCAGAUAGAAAGUCCCCAUGAACACAUAUGUCCUGUUGGUUUUAGAUUACUGUGUUUGCUCUUCCUUUAAGUCCUCAGCUCAAAACAUACUGACACCAAAAAAAAAAAAAAAAAAAAAAGCAUAUUAUGGGGUGUUGCUAUAUUUUGUUUUGUUUUGUUUUUCUA